RNAcentral lists this ribosomal RNA (129 nucleotides) under Virgibacillus sp. 19R1-5. RNAcentral describes it as "partial 16S ribosomal RNA". It matches the Rfam family "Bacterial small subunit ribosomal RNA", at positions 1 to 110 of the family's 1533-position model. Lineage: Bacteria; Bacillati; Bacillota; Bacilli; Caryophanales; Bacillaceae. The record is from RNAcentral.
UCUAUGGAGAGUUUGAUCUUGGCUCAGGACGAACGCUGGCGGCGUGCCUAAUACAUGCAAGUCGAGCGCGGGAAGCAAGCAGAUCUCCUUCGGGAGUGACGCUUGUGGAACGAGCGGCGGACGGGUGAG